GUCCCUUUGGUGGCAUCCGAUAAAAUUGGAACGAUACAGAGAAGAUUAACAUGAUUAUUGCGCAAGGAUGACAUGCACAAAUCGAGAAAUGGUCUAAAUUGUUUUGACCUUUUUGCCCCUACACCUCAACCUCAGAUUACCAUAAUACCCCCGGGAUUCUUCUUCUUUCCCCGUUAUAGCCCCUCCCUGCGGGUGCACCUGAUCCGUUCUCCUCCUCCCAAUUUUCUGCUGGAUUUCAGAUUCUAGGGUUUCAAGCAGAGUUCUGUUCUGCCAUUUUGCAGGCUUCUUAGGCUACAGGGACUCCUGGAGCCGGAAACUAGUUUGGAAGACCAGCUGCUAAUUUCGCUCGCAAGUCCUUCCGCAAGAUUUUGCCAGAUGGUGCUUUGGGAAUGGCAUCGUUGAAGAAAACUCUAUUAAUUCUCUUGUAAAAAACAACCUGCAGAGCGUUGGAGGUUAAAAUAUGUAUCAGUUUGAAUCAAGACUUGCAACAACAUCAAGAGAACAAUUGAAGUGUGACUGUAUACCUGUUUGGAGAUAUAUUGCUUGACUUCUUCCUCGGUGAUUAUGGACCCAUUUGAUUUCACAACAAAAGCUACAGGUACCUCUCCUGCUGAUUCAUCUUUCAUCCUGAAUCAUUAGGCAUUCGUUUGGUUAGAGCUGAUCAAGAUUCAACUCCUUGGGUAAAAGAUGGUGCAUCUAUAAGAAAAGAAUAAGUGCUAGAAAAUUUUCAAGUGGCAUAUCUUCAAAUAGGGUCAACGUUCCACUUGAAUGAAUGUUGUAUUAUCAUGUUUCACUCUGGACACUGUAAAAUUUUCUGAAUCUGUAGCAUUAAUGAUACACAUAA
Long non-coding RNA from Rhododendron vialii, 844 nucleotides. RefSeq lists it as uncharacterized. Lineage: Eukaryota; Viridiplantae; Streptophyta; Magnoliopsida; Ericales; Ericaceae. The transcript is spliced from 2 exons. The record is from RefSeq and is a predicted model, not a curated record.